GCGGACGUAGCCAAGUGGAUCAAGGCAAU
RNAcentral lists this transfer RNA (29 nucleotides) under Cyathea arborea. RNAcentral describes it as "partial tRNA-His". RNAcentral also lists the same sequence under 7 other names. Lineage: Eukaryota; Viridiplantae; Streptophyta; Polypodiopsida; Cyatheales; Cyatheaceae. The record is from RNAcentral.